RNAcentral lists this ribosomal RNA (433 nucleotides) under uncultured bacterium. RNAcentral describes it as "partial 16S ribosomal RNA". It matches the Rfam family "Bacterial small subunit ribosomal RNA", at positions 29 to 507 of the family's 1533-position model. The record is from RNAcentral.
AACGAACGCUGGCGGCAUGCCUAACACAUGCAAGUCGAACGAGACCUUCGGGUCUAGUGGCGCACGGGUGCGUAACGCGUGGGAACCUGCCCUUGGGUUCGGAAUAACUCCCCGAAGGGGUUCCUAAUCCGGGAUAAUUUCUUCGGACCAAAGAUUUAUCGCCUUUGGAUGGGCCCGCGUUGGAUUAGCUAGUUGGUAGGGUAAAAGCCUACCAAGGCGACGAUCCAUAGCUGGUCUGAGAGGAUGAUCAGCCACACUGGGACUGAGACACGGCCCAGACUCCUACGGGAGGCAGCAGUGGGGAAUAUUGGACAAUGGGCGAAAGCCUGAUCCAGCAAUGCCGCGUGAGUGAUGAAGGCCUUAGGGUUGUAAAGCUCUUUUACCCGGGAUGAUAAUGACAGUACCGGGAGAAUAAGCUCCGGCUAACUCCGUG